Molecule: ribosomal RNA, 253 nt
Filed under: uncultured bacterium
Lineage: Bacteria
Description: partial 16S ribosomal RNA
Rfam family: Bacterial small subunit ribosomal RNA
Source: RNAcentral
UACGAGUACCCCAAGCGUUAUCCGGAAUCAUUGGGCGUAAAGGGUGUGUAGGUGGUCUUGUUAGUCUUCUGUUAAAAUCUUGGGCUCAACCCAAGACUUGCAGUGGAAACGGCAAGACUCGAGGAUGCGAGAGGUGAAUGGAACUCAUGGAGUAGGGGUGAAAUCCGUUGAUAUCAUGGGGAACACCAAAAGCGAAGGCAAUUCACUGGCGCAAUCCUGACACUGAGACACGAAAGCGUGGGUAGCGAACGGG